CCUACGGGUGGCUGCAGUGAGGAAUAUUGGUCAAUGGACGAGAGUCUGAACCAGCCAAGUAGCGUGAAGGAUGACUGCCCUAUGGGUUGUAAACUUCUUUUAUAUGGGAAUAAAAUGUGCAACGUGUGGGAUUUUGUAUGUACCAUAUGAAUAAGGAGCGGCUAACUCCGUGCCAGCAGCCGCGGUAAUACGGAGGAUCCGAGCGUUAUCCGGAUUUCUUGGGUUUAAAGCGAGCGUAGGUGGAUUGUUAAGUCAGCGGUAAAAUCGCGGGGCUCAACCUCGCUCCGCCGUUGAAACUGGCGUUCUUGAGUGGGCGAGAAGUAUGCGGAAUGCGUGGUGUAGCGGUGAAAUGCAUAGAUAUCACGCAGAACUCCGAUUGCGAAGGCAGCAUACCGGCGCCCAACUGACGCUGAAGCACGAAAGCGUGGGUAUCGAACAGGAUUAGAUACCCUUGUAGUC
Molecule: ribosomal RNA, 459 nt
Filed under: uncultured bacterium
Lineage: Bacteria
Description: partial 16S ribosomal RNA
Rfam family: Bacterial small subunit ribosomal RNA
Source: RNAcentral